This 73-nucleotide transfer RNA is filed under the name Apaloderma vittatum (bar-tailed trogon). It matches the Rfam family "tRNA". Rfam says of the family: Transfer RNA (tRNA) molecules are approximately 80 nucleotides in length. Their secondary structure includes four short double-helical elements and three loops (D, anti-codon, and T loops). Further hydrogen bonds mediate the characteristic L-shaped molecular structure. tRNAs have two regions of fundamental functional importance: the anti-codon, which is responsible for specific mRNA codon recognition, and the 3' end, to which the tRNAs corresponding amino acid is attached (by aminoacyl-tRNA synthetases). tRNAs cope with the degeneracy of the genetic code in two manners: having more than one tRNA (with a specific anti-codon) for a particular amino acid; and 'wobble' base-pairing, i.e. permitting non-standard base-pairing at the 3rd anti-codon position. The record is from Rfam by way of RNAcentral. Lineage: Eukaryota; Metazoa; Chordata; Aves; Trogoniformes; Trogonidae.
GGCUGGUUAGCUCAGUCGGUUAGAGCGUGGUGCUGAUAACACCAAAGUCGCAGGUUCGAUCCCAAUUUGGUCC